Molecule: ribosomal RNA, 364 nt
Filed under: uncultured bacterium
Lineage: Bacteria
Description: bacterial SSU rRNA
Rfam family: Bacterial small subunit ribosomal RNA
Source: RNAcentral
GACGAACGCUGGCGGCGUGCUUAACACAUGCAAGUCGAGCGCCCGUAGCAAUACGGGAGCGGCAGACGGGAGAGUAACACGUGGGAACAUGCCCUUCGGUUCGGAAUAACUCAGGGAAACUUGAGCUAAUACCGGAUACGUCCGUAAGGAGAAAGAUUUAUCGCCGAAGGAUUGGCCCGCGUCCGAUUAGCUUGUUGGUGAGGUAAUGGCUCACCAAGGCGACGAUCGGUAGCGGUCUGAGAGGAUGAUCAGCCUCACUGGGACUGAGACACGGCCCAGACUCCUACGGGAGGCAGCAGUGGGGAAUAUUGGACAAUGGGCGAAAGCCUGAUCCAGCCAUGCCGCGUGGGUGAUGAAGGCCUUA